AGACGUAUAGUUCAGUAGGUAGAAUUUUGGAUUUCAAAUCCAACAGUUGCGGGUUCGAGUCCUGCUGCGUCUG
Molecule: transfer RNA, 73 nt
Filed under: Jenufa perforata
Lineage: Eukaryota; Viridiplantae; Chlorophyta; Chlorophyceae
Description: tRNA-Trp
Rfam family: tRNA
About the family: Transfer RNA (tRNA) molecules are approximately 80 nucleotides in length.
Source: RNAcentral